AUACAGAUGACGAGUCCCAAACAGGGUGAAAGGCGCAUCCUGGAU
Molecule: non-coding RNA, 45 nt
Filed under: Trichobilharzia regenti
Lineage: Eukaryota; Metazoa; Platyhelminthes; Trematoda; Strigeidida; Schistosomatidae
Source: RNAcentral